RNAcentral lists this ribosomal RNA (269 nucleotides) under uncultured archaeon. Its description in RNAcentral is "partial 16S ribosomal RNA". It matches the Rfam family "Archaeal small subunit ribosomal RNA", at positions 717 to 982 of the family's 1478-position model. The record is from RNAcentral.
ACACGACUACAUUAGAUACCCGCGUAGUCCUAGGCGUAAAUGAUGCGAGUUAAGUGGUGGGGGCAUCUACGAGAUGGCCCUGUGCUGUAGGGUAGACCGUUAAACUCGCUGCCGUGGGGAGUACGGUCGCAAGGCUAGAAACGUUAAAGGAAUUGGCGGGGAGCACCACAACGGGUGGAGCUUGCGGUUUAAUUGGAUUCAACGCCGGAAAACUCAUCGGGAGCGACAGCAGUAUGAUUGCCAGGUUGAUGACCUUGCUUGACAAGCUG